Molecule: ribosomal RNA, 434 nt
Filed under: uncultured bacterium
Lineage: Bacteria
Description: partial 16S ribosomal RNA
Rfam family: Bacterial small subunit ribosomal RNA
Source: RNAcentral
AGCGAACGCUGGCGGCAGGCCUAACACAUGCAAGUCGAACGAACCUUUCGGGGUUAGUGGCGGACGGGUGAGUAACACGUGGGAACGUGCCUUUAGGUUCGGAAUAACUCAGGGAAACUUGUGCUAAUACCGAAUGUGCCCUUCGGGGGAAAGAUUAAUCGCCUUUAGAGCGGCCCGCGUCUGAUUAGCUAGUUGGUUGAGGUAAUGGCCCACCAAGGCGACGAUCAGUAGCUGGUCUGAGAGGAUGAUCAGCCACAUUGGGACUGAGACACGGCCCAAACUCCUACGGGAGGCAGCAGUGGGGAAUCUUGCGCAAUGGGCGAAAGCCUGACGCAGCCAUGCCGCGUGAAUGAUGAAGGUCUUAGGAUUGUAAAAUUCUUUCACCGGGGACGAUAAUGACGGUACCCGGAGAAGAAGCCCCGGCUAACUUCGUG